This 73-nucleotide transfer RNA is filed under the name Camelus bactrianus (Bactrian camel). It matches the Rfam family "tRNA". From Rfam's summary of the family: Transfer RNA (tRNA) molecules are approximately 80 nucleotides in length. Their secondary structure includes four short double-helical elements and three loops (D, anti-codon, and T loops). The record is from Rfam by way of RNAcentral. Lineage: Eukaryota; Metazoa; Chordata; Mammalia; Artiodactyla; Camelidae. RNAcentral also lists the same sequence under 2 other names.
GAGGGUAUAGCUUAAGUGGUAGAGCACAUACUUAGCAUGCACGAGGUCCUGGGUUCAAUACCCAGUACCUCUU